UUCCGGUUGAUCCUGCCGGCCCCGACUGCUAUUUGGGUGAGAAUAAGCCAUGCGAGUUGAAUGGAAUACCUAAAUUUUCCAUAGCAAACUGCUCAGUAACACAUGAUCAACUUACCCUAUAGAGAAAAAUAACCUCGGGAAACUGAGGAUAAUGUUUCAUAGUUGAAAAGGCUUGGAAAAGUUUUUCAAUUAAAAGGAUAAGAAAAAUGGUUCUUCUCCGCUAUAGGAUAGGAUCGUGGUCGAUUAUGGUUGUUGGUGAGGUAAUGGCUCACCAAGCCGAUAAUCGAUAGGGGCCGUGAGAGCGGGAGCCCCGAGAUGAGUACUGAGACAACGACCCAGGCCUUACGAGGCGCAGCAGGCGCGAAACCUCCGCAAUACACGAAAGUGUGACGGGGUUACCCAAAGUGUUCAGUUUUGAACUGUGGUAGGUGAGUAAUGUCCCCUACUAGAAAGGAGAGGGCAAGGCUGGUGCCAGCCGCCGCGGUAAAACCAGCUCUUCAAGUGGUCGGGAUAAUUAUUGGGCUUAAAGUGUCCGUAGCCGGUUUAGUAAGUUCCUGGUAAAAUCGGGUAGCUUAACUAUCUGUAUGCUAGGAAUACUGCUAAACUAGAGGGCGGGAGAGGUCUGAGGUACUACAGGGGUAGGGGUGAAAUCUUAUAAUCCUUGUAGGACCACCAGUGGCGAAGGCGUCAGACUGGAACGUGCCUGACGGUGAGGGACGAAAGCCAGGGGAGCGAACCGGAUUAGAUACCCGGGUAGUCCUGGCCGUAAACGAUGCAUACUAGGUGAUGGCAUGGCCAUGAGCCGUGUCAGUGCCGUAGGGAAACCGUUAAGUAUGCCGCCUGGGAAGUACGGUCGCAAGGCUAAAACUUAAAGGAAUUGGCGGGGGAGCACCACAAGGGGUGAAGCCUGCGGUUCAAUUGGACUCAACGCCGGU
RNAcentral lists this ribosomal RNA (935 nucleotides) under uncultured archaeon. Its description in RNAcentral is "bacterial SSU rRNA". It matches the Rfam family "Archaeal small subunit ribosomal RNA", at positions 1 to 922 of the family's 1478-position model. The record is from RNAcentral.